CUCGGGGGCAGCGGAGAACCCGGACGGAGGAGCGGCGGCGCCCACCGGCAGGGCGGACGGAGACCCGCAUCCGAGGAGGCUGAAGUCAGAGACAGACGGAGCGGGUGGCCUUUAGACGCCACCGUCCGAGCUCGCCCGCAGUGGACCCCGCCUCGCCUGCCCCUCCGCCCCGUCUCAGGAGCCCCCAGGAGAGCGGCUGCCCGUCCUGUUAGGAAGGCCUCCGUUCCGCCCACCUGCUCCGUAUUUCCACCUCUGAAGAUGCAGAAUGAGUUCCUCCCCGGGGGAGCAAACCCACCCAAAGGGCCCUCACCCCUACCCAAGAACGCCCCAUCCGAACAGCCCCCGUCUGCCGCGUGGGGACAGCAGUCCCAGAGGUGCCUGGCGCGCGACACCCUGGGCGUGCCUCCCCGCGGGAAGUGGGCUUUGGAGAGGUGUGCUGCGUUGGGAAGCCACUCGCUGGCUGUCACCUUGACUCCUCCUGGCGAGUCAGCGGACUGUCCAUCUCCUAGGUGCCGCCGCGCUCGGGCGUGUAGGGUGGGGCGGGGAGCCGCGGGCACGACCCGAGCUGGGCAGGACUCGGUGAGCUGGAGGGUCACGGGGCAGACAGAAAUGGUCCGCUGUGCUUGGUACCCACCGAAAGAAUGUAUCUCAAAAGAGCAGGAGAAGGAAGAAAAGAGAAAAGAAACCUCGAUGUCCGCGGCCAGGGGAGAACGCGCGGCUGUGGGGUCCGAGCCCCCGGAACAGCCGCUCACACCGCGGGCCUGUUCGCAGGAAGCUGCUGGGAAGGCAGCCCCGGGUCAGGGCCCUUGGAGCGAACCCCGUAUUUGCUUUCAUGAAUAAAUGUGGAUCUUUGGGGAACGGCUUCGGAAGGAGCCGCAAACACAAACUCUUUGUAAAUUAUGUAAAUUCCUAUUUAUCUGUGUAAUUGGGAACAACUGGGGCUGCCCGAAGGGUCACCGCCUCUUUCGGCCACACUCCCUCCUCCAGCCGUGCCGGGGUGAGCUCUCCGCGGGGGACAGGCCCCCGCCCCCACCUGUGGCACAGACCAGAAUUGGGGUGCAGCGGGGGAAACCAGGUGGGAGGGGCAGCAUCGGCCUGGACCUAAUGAUCACUUCCCUCCGCGUGGCCCCGAGUCAGGAGAAGCGGAUGUGGACCCCGAGGCGGCGGAAGGGCCGUGGCUGGCGCGUACCGUUUAGAGAAGCCCUUAUUUAUUGUGGACCUCUCUCUCCUCCGGCUGCUUCCCGGGGCUCUGUCCGGACGCCACGCUGCCCUGCGUCGAGCGCUCAGAUUCUGUAGAGCUGGAAUUAACGUUUUUAAAACACGUACCCACUGGCUCGGGGGCAAGGCGCCCUCUGGGGAGACGCCCGAGCACGGCGCGAACACUCACGAAAGGCUGGCGAAUGCAUAAUAAAAAGAGAUCUCGACGUU
Molecule: long non-coding RNA, 1428 nt
Organism: Molossus molossus (Pallas's mastiff bat)
Lineage: Eukaryota; Metazoa; Chordata; Mammalia; Chiroptera; Molossidae
Exons: 2
Source: RefSeq, a predicted model, not a curated record